UAGGGAAUCUUCGGCAAUGGGGGCAACCCUGACCGAGCAACGCCGCGUGAGUGAAGAAGGUUUUCGGAUCGUAAAGCUCUGUUGUAAGAGAAGAACGUGUGUGAGAGUGGAAAGUUCACACAGUGACGGUAACUUACCAGAAAGGGACGGCUAACUACGUGCCAGCAGCCGCGGUAAUACGUAGGUCCCGAGCGUUGUCCGGAUUUAUUGAGCGUAAAGCGAGCGCAGGCGGUUUAAUAAGUCUGAAGUUAAAGGCAGUGGCUUAACCAUUGUUCGCUUUGGAAAAUGUUAAACUUGAGUGCAGAAGGGGAGAGUGGAAUUCCAUGUGUAGCGGUGAAAUGCGUAGAUAUAUGGAGGAACACCGGUGGCGAAAGCGGCUCUCUGGUCUGUAACUGACGCUGAGGCUCGAAAGCGUGGGGAGCAAACAGG
Molecule: ribosomal RNA, 429 nt
Filed under: bacterium
Lineage: Bacteria
Description: partial 16S ribosomal RNA
Rfam family: Bacterial small subunit ribosomal RNA
Source: RNAcentral